UCCCACUUCUUGCCUCUCUUGUCUCAGCGUCCUCUCUGCCCUCAUAUCCCCACCCCCAUUCAUUCAUGACACACAGUACACACGCACACACACCACACACAAAACACACGCCACACACACACACCACACACACACACACACACCACACACAAAACACACGCCACACACACACACACCACACACACAACACACACACACACACAAAACACAUGCCACACAUACACACACACACACACACACACACCACACACAAAACACACGCCACACACACACACACCACACACACAACACACACACACAAAAAACACAUGCCACACACACACCACACACACACACACACACCACACACAAAACACACGCCACACACACACACACCACACACACAACACACACACACACAAAACACAUGCCACACACACAACACACACACACACAAAACACACGCCACACACACAACACACGCCACACACACACACCACACACACACACACACACACACACACAAAACACACACCACACACACACCCCCCACACACACAACACACACACACAAAACACACGCCACACACAACACACACACACACAAAACACACGCCACACACACAACACACACACACACACAAAACACACGCCACACACACACACACACCAUAGACACACACCACAGACACACACCACAAACACACACACACCACAAACACUACACACACCACAGACAGUACACACACCACACAUACAUACACCACACAUACACACACCACACACACACACCACAAACACACACACACCACAAACACUACACACACCACAGACAGUACACACACCACACAUACAUACACCACACAUACACACACCACACACACACACCACACACACACAAUAUACACACACCACACACACACACACCACACACACACACCACACACACACCACACACACACAUCACAGACACACACAUACCACACACACUACACACACCACAGACACUACACACACCACACACACACACACCACACACAAAACACAUGCCACACACACACCACACACACACACACUACACACACCACACACACACAGAACACACACACCACACACACACCACAAACACACACACACCACACACACUACACACCACACACACUACACACACCACAGACACACCACACACACAAAACACACGCCACACACACACACACCACACACACACACACCACACACACACACCACACACACACACAUACCACACACACUACACACACCACAGACACUACACACACCACACAUACAUACACCACACAUACACACACCACACACACACACACCACACACAAAACACAUGCCACACACACACCACACACACACACACCACACACACACACACCACACACACUACACACACCACACACACUACACACACCACACACACUACACACACCACAGACACACCACACACACACACACCACACACACACUGAUCUCCAGGAGGGGAAGGUGCUCUUCCAUGUUUGUCCUCAUCUCUAUCUGCCCCUAGUGCC
Molecule: long non-coding RNA, 1535 nt
Filed under: Bos indicus x Bos taurus (hybrid cattle)
Lineage: Eukaryota; Metazoa; Chordata; Mammalia; Artiodactyla; Bovidae
Description: lncRNA (ENSBIXG00005005578.1)
Source: RNAcentral